Molecule: ribosomal RNA, 1576 nt
Filed under: Tragelaphus imberbis (lesser kudu)
Lineage: Eukaryota; Metazoa; Chordata; Mammalia; Artiodactyla; Bovidae
Description: 16S ribosomal RNA
Rfam family: Bacterial large subunit ribosomal RNA
Source: RNAcentral
ACUAAAUCUAGCCCGAAGAUUAAACUCACCAUAACCAAAGAAAAAUAAAACAAAACAUUUACCUCUCAAUCUAAAGUAUAGGAGAUAGAAAUUUUAAAUACGGCGCUAUAGAGAAAGUACCGUAAGGGAAUGAUGAAAGAAAGAAAUUUAAAGUACAAAAAAGCAAAGAUUACCCCUUGUACCUUUUGCAUAAUGAAUUAACUAGCACAAAACUUAACAAAACGAAUUUUAGCUAAGUAACCCGAAACCAGACGAGCUACUCACAAACAGUUUACCAAGAACUAACUCAUCUAUGUGGCAAAAUAGUGAGAAGAUUUAUGAGUAGAGGUGACAUGCCUAACGAGCCUGGUGAUAGCUGGUUGUCCAGAAAAUGAAUCUCAGUUCAGCUUUAAAAAUACCAAAAAUUUAAAUAAAUUCCACUGUAUUUUUAAAAGUUAAUCUAAAAAGGUACAGCCUUUUAGAUAAAGGAUACAACCUUAAAUAGAGAGUAAGAUCUAAAAACACCAUAGUAGGCCUAAAAGCAGCCACCAAUUAAGAAAGCGUUAAAGCUCAACAAUAAAACUGAUAAAAAUUUCAAAAACAAGAAGCCAACUCCUAGCCCUAAUACUGGACUAAUCUAUUAAAAAAUAGAAGCAAUAAUGUUAAUAUGAGUAACAAGAAAUAUUUUCUCCCUGCAUGAGCUUAAAUCAGUAACUGAUAAUACCCUGAUUAUUAACAGUUAAUAAAAAUAACCCAAUAAUUAACAAUUUAUUAGCUAUACUGUUAACCCAACACAGGAGUGCACUUAAGGAAAGAUUAAAAGAAGUAAAAGGAACUCGGCAAACACAAACCCCGCCUGUUUACCAAAAACAUCACCUCCAGCAUCACCAGUAUUGGAGGCACUGCCUGCCCAGUGACAAUAGUUUAACGGCCGCGGUAUCCUGACCGUGCAAAGGUAGCAUAAUCAUUUGUUCUCUAAAUAAGGACUUGUAUGAAUGGCCACACGAGGGUUUUACUGUCUCUUACUUCCAAUCAGUGAAAUUGACUUUCCCGUGAAGAGGCGGGAAUAAACUAAUAAGACGAGAAGACCCUAUGGAGCUUCAACUAAUCAGUCCAAAGAAAAUAAACUAAUAUUGCUCAGGAAAUAACAAUAUUUUCCUAUGGCCUGACAGUUUCGGUUGGGGCGACCUCGGAGAAUAAAAAAUCCUCCGAACGAUUAUAAAGACUAGACCUACAAGUCAAAUCACUCAAUCGCUUAUUGAUCCAAAAACUUGAUCAACGGAACAAGUUACCCUAGGGAUAACAGCGCAAUCCUAUUCAAGAGUCCAUAUCGACAAUAGGGUUUACGACCUCGAUGUUGGAUCAGGACAUCCAGAUGGUGCAACCGCUAUCAAAGGUUCGUUUGUUCAACGAUUAAAGUCCUACGUGAUCUGAGUUCAGACCGGAGCAAUCCAGGUCGGUUUCUAUCUAUUUAUGUAUUUCUCCCAGUACGAAAGGACAAGAGAAAUUAGGCCAACUUAAAAUAAGCGCCUCAAAGUAACUAAUGAUCCCGUCUCAAUUAGCAAUACAAAAACUCCAGCCCUAGAGACAGGGCUCA